AGCUAACAUAGCUCUUUUAGAAUUGUUUUCUAACCGGUUUUCUGAUUUUUGUUGGAAAACCGAC
Molecule: small nuclear RNA, 64 nt
Organism: Mastomys coucha (southern multimammate mouse)
Lineage: Eukaryota; Metazoa; Chordata; Mammalia; Rodentia; Muridae
Product: U7 small nuclear RNA
Exons: 1
Source: RefSeq, a predicted model, not a curated record